RNAcentral lists this ribosomal RNA (481 nucleotides) under Streptomyces coelicolor. Its description in RNAcentral is "bacterial SSU rRNA". It matches the Rfam family "Bacterial small subunit ribosomal RNA", at positions 528 to 1003 of the family's 1533-position model. The record is from RNAcentral. Lineage: Bacteria; Bacillati; Actinomycetota; Actinomycetes; Kitasatosporales; Streptomycetaceae.
UAGGGCGCAAGCGUUGUCCGGAAUUAUUGGGCGUAAAGAGCUCGUAGGCGGCUUGUCACGUCGGUUGUGAAAGCCCGGGGCUUAACCCCGGGUCUGCAGUCGAUACGGGCAGGCUAGAGUUCGGUAGGGGAGAUCGGAAUUCCUGGUGUAGCGGUGAAAUGCGCAGAUAUCAGGAGGAACACCGGUGGCGAAGGCGGAUCUCUGGGCCGAUACUGACGCUGAGGAGCGAAAGCGUGGGGGAGCGAACAGGAUUAGAUACCCUGGUAGUCCACGCCUCUCACCACGAUCUGACGCCUCGGCGCAAUACAGACCAAGAACGCAUCGCUACUGUAACGCAUUAAGUGCCCGCCUGGGGAGUACGGCCUGAAGGCUAAACUCAAGGAAUUGACGGGGGCCCUGCACAAGCGGCGGACAUGUGGCUAAAUUCGAACGCAUCGCGAAGAAACCUUUACCAAGGUUGGAACAUACAUCUGGUAAACGU